RNAcentral lists this ribosomal RNA (413 nucleotides) under uncultured microorganism. Its description in RNAcentral is "bacterial SSU rRNA". It matches the Rfam family "Archaeal small subunit ribosomal RNA", at positions 330 to 746 of the family's 1478-position model. The record is from RNAcentral.
UGGCUGCAGUUAAGGAAAUUUUACAAUGCACGAAAGUGUGAUAAAAUAAACCAGAGUGUUAAUCUUAGAUUAACUUUUGUUUGUUGUAAAAAGACAGACGAAUAAGGACUGGGCAAGACCGGUGCCAGCCGCCGCGGUAAUACCGGCGGUCCGAGUCGCAUCCACAUUUAUUGGGUCUAAAACAUUCGUAGCUUGUUUUGUAAGUCUCUUGUGAAAUCUCAUGUCUCAAACAUGAGGCGGGCAAGAGAUACUGCAUUACUAGAGACCGGAAGACGUAAGGAGUACAAUUAAGGUAGCGGUAAAAUGCAUUAAUCUUGAUUGGACUAACAAUGGCGAAGGCACCUUACGAGUACGGAUCUGACAGUGAGGGAUGAAGGCUAGGGUCGCGAAAGGGAUUAGAUACCCCUGUAGUC